UGUUUUAACUCUCAGUAAUGCCACAGUGAUCAUUUGAUAUAUGGACCUGCAGCAGAGUUUAGGCCCAGACACGGCUAGUGACGUCAGACUGAACAACCGGAUAAAGCCAAGAUGACCAGGAUUAUUCCAUUAAGGGGUAGGAAUGGCUAUCCUAAUUCGGUGCCUUAUAACAGCUGUAGUAAGUAAUAGUACCCACAUGUCAGUAUUUACUGAAUAUAAUCUAAAUAAAUAGUCAAAUCUUUAAAUAUAUAGAAUUUUAUAGAUAUAAAAGAGCGAACUAAACCAUUUCUGUACACAACCCCAUACUUCUGAGUUGGUACAGUCCAGCUUCGCGCCUCUAGCUUCUUGCCUCAAAUUUGGAUUGCAGGAUUAGUAAUAUUUUGGGGUACAGUGGUACAGUGUGAAGAAAUUAAGACACGCUAUGGAGAAACUGGACGAAAUAACAAUUGCCACCCUGAAAGAAGCAUAUGUUGGAGAAGACCUGCUCUCAUCACUGUCACGAGAUGACAUCAAAGAUCUGUUUCCUGGUCCUGAACAUUUCCUCAGGCGUCGGGCUCUAUGGCUUGCAGUGCACAAAUGUGAAGAAAAGACCCUGAAGGCUACCUGCAUCAGCGACCCCUGGGUGUCCAGUUCUGCUUGUCUCUAAAGGCAACUGCAUGAUAGCUGUUGGAAGCACACCGGUGAGCACUUUUGACCGGAAGGAUCUUAAUGAGGGACUGCUCUAUCUGAUGGCAUAUUACUACGCCCUCCACCUCACAUAUCCAAAGUGCAUUUCCACGCUGCUGUCUGUCUUGCAAACUGAAAUACUCAAAGACUCCAUCCAUGACCGAGAUUCAACCCCCUCUUACAGGAAGGCUCUUGGUGAGUGGAAGUCAUUCAUUGAGUGAGUCUCUCCGAUGACAGACUCCAUCUGCCUUGUUUAUCAGACUCAGUGUUAGUCAGUGAGGUUGGUUUUUUUUUUCUCUAGAAAAGUUGUUCAAAUGGAAAACACAUGUUUGUUUGUGUGGUCGUUAAACUUGUUCUUCUAAAAUGUUUUGGAAUAUAGGAUUUGCAAUAGUGAUUGUUUUAAGCUUCAGCAAAAUUUAGUUUUGAUACCAGCCAUGAGUGUGUUAUACUGUUAUUAUUCGUGUUAAGAGUAUCUGGAAUAUGCACUUCUUGUAUUGGCCAUGUUACACAGUACCCUGCUGAAAUGUAUAAUUUUAGACAUGAUUCUCCUGGAACAGACCUCAGUGAGUUACUGACCCAUUGCUGUGUCAAUAAAGCGCAAAAACUAAGA
This is a long non-coding RNA of Oreochromis niloticus (Nile tilapia), 1276 nucleotides long. RefSeq lists it as uncharacterized. Lineage: Eukaryota; Metazoa; Chordata; Actinopteri; Cichliformes; Cichlidae. The record is from RefSeq and is a predicted model, not a curated record. The transcript has 3 exons.